CACCCAUCCCAACCUCCAACAAAGACACGUGUCUCAGGAGAAAAGCUCAGCAUACUCUCCCCGCCACCCACGACGACAUUCUCCAGACUCGAUGAACGAGCAUCCUUCCGAGAGCAGACAUUCAUCGAUUUUCAUCACUACUCUCUCGUGAUUGCUCUCGCAUUGGACAUCGCGUCACACAGCAGCUUUACGCCGUCGUCACUGCGAAACCUCCAGCUAGUAACUGAGAGCUUUACUAGCGGCCAGUAGUGUUCGAGCCGUCGUCCGAGUGUGUAACGCCUGCGAUCGAUCCCGAGGAUAAAGGAUUACUCUCUAGGAGGACCCUGCUAUUUGGGCCCCCUUCACCCACCCUCGCCCAGUUCACUGGGACACAGUGCCAGUAGUGAUUACAACCGCCCACCGAUCGGAUCUCGUGUGGGGGGAAAGAGGACUAACAUUACAAGUUGUGUGUGCGAGCGAAGACCACACGUGACCACAGGACAACGCGUCGUCGGACCGGUUCCGCUUUUGUGAUAGUUGUAAUCGAAUACAAUGAACCAACACGGUGGCAUCGGUGGCGGAGGCGGUAAAAAAACGUCGAUUCCUGCCCGAAAUGGGUGGUGAACGGGUGUUUGUGCGCCGUGCGGUGGUGACUGAGAACAAAGGCCACCGCCGCCAGUAGCAGUGAGGGAGGGGCCGGGCUACAUCGAAAAGGACAUUCCCGUGUGCGGUGCGGUGCGACUGGUUUACACGGGGCAGUGAAGUGCAUUUAAUGAUGGGCAGACUGGCCUGCGGUUAGUUGCUGCAAGAUAACGCCAAGCAAGUGAUUGAUGUGGGUGAUGGUGUGACCCGCAAAGUGGGAGCUUCGUGCUCUGCCGGAGUGUGCAGGUUCAAAGGAAUUAUUAUAGAUUUUUUUCUGGGAGGUGAAAGUGGCUGAGAAAAAGGGGCUGGAAAAAGUUUUACUCAGCUCUGUGGUUAUCUUAAUGGGGGAUUGUGGAAAGUUGUGGUUAAGCCGUGAGAAGUUGUAGUGAGUGUCUGAAUACAAACCGAAAUACCAUUAAAGAAAGUUAAAACUAUAAUUGCGGCACAAGAUUUUACAGCAGUGAUAAUUCAUCAACGAAACACACAGUCAAGCAAUCGGAAAUCUCAGUCCGUCAGUACCCAGUGCUAAAAAUUCAAUCCUACCAAAAGUGAAAGAGUUAGAAGCCUCGAAAAAAGGAUAAGCUUCAGGAAACCCAAAUCAGCGGGCGCUAUCUUCCUGCCAACCAUAAAGAGGACGGCAUAAUCAGCGGUCAUUUGGUUACCAGCCAACUUGUAGUGCUAGGCAGUGAGCGGUUGCCGGUUCGCGUCGGAGAAGUUGGAGCUACAGUUCCAAAAAUAAAACCGUCAACUACCUAAGCCUCGAGUGGACGGAUAGCGCGCAUCAAAUGCGUUUGGAAACAGCCGUCGGUAUACUAUACAACACGAGUUAAACAACUGGCUACCGCCGGACGAAAAGUAACAGAAAGCAACUCUGCAACAUCAACGGUCGUCGCUCGGUUUGUCGGUUGGUCGGUCGGAUGGUACCCAUCAAACUACAUACUAGGUACUACUAGGGUAGAGAGUUUAGUUACAUCGCGGUCCCGGCAAAUAAGCGAAACCGUCAAUCUUGCCUGAGCUCAGUGCGGUGCAUCGUGUUUUACAAUCCCGUGGAACGAGUGUUGCGGAUUACCGGGCGAAACGGGGGUGUAGUGAUUGCUGGCGGAAAUGCAUUUUUACGUCGCCUCCGGUGGUGGUGGUAGAAUGUGAUUUCCAUGUCUGAUGAGUUUCACGCUUUCGCGGUUAGUUUCGUUCAUCAAAGGGAGCCGUGCUACAUCUGCUCGGUCCGAGUCGGUUACACAGUUAUAAUCUCU
Molecule: long non-coding RNA, 1871 nt
Organism: Aedes albopictus (Asian tiger mosquito)
Lineage: Eukaryota; Metazoa; Arthropoda; Insecta; Diptera; Culicidae
Exons: 3
Source: RefSeq, a predicted model, not a curated record